UGGUCGCCGACGAGUGGCGGACGGGCAGAGUAACACGUAGGUAACCUGCCCAGAAGCGGGGGACAACAUUUGGAAACAGAUGCUAAUACCGCAUAACAGCGUUGUUCGCAUGAACAACGCUUAAAAGAUGGCUUCUCGCUAUCACUUCUGGAUGGACCUGCGGUGCAUUAGCUUGUUGGUGGGGUAACGGCCUACCAAGGCGAUGAUGCAUAGCCGAGUUGAGAGACUGAUCGGCCACAAUGGGACUGAGACACGGCCCAUACUCCUACGGGAGGCAGCAGUAGGGAAUCUUCCACAAUGGGCGCAAGCCUGAUGGAGCAACACCGCGUGAGUGAAGAAGGGUUUCGGCUCGUAAAGCUCUGUUGUUAAAGAAGAACACGUAUGAGAGUAACUGUUCAUACGUUGACGGUAUUUAACCAGAAAGUCACGGCUAACUACGUGCCAGCAGCCGCGGUAAUACGUAGGUGGCAAGCGUUAUCCGGAUUUAUUGGGCGUAAAGAGAGUGCAGGCGGUUUUCUAAGUCUGAUGUGAAAGCCUUCGGCUUAACCGGAGAAGUGCAUCGGAAACUGGAUAACUUGAGUGCAGAAGAGGGUAGUGGAACUCCAUGUGUAGCGGUGGAAUGCGUAGAUAUAUGGAAGAACACCAGUGGCGAAGGCGGCUACCUGGUCUGCAACUGACGCUGAGACUCGAAAGCAUGGGUAGCGAACAGGAUUAGAUACCCUGGUAGUCCAUGCCGUAAACGAUGAGUGCUAGGUGUUGGAGGGUUUCCCGCCCUUU
RNAcentral lists this ribosomal RNA (777 nucleotides) under Limosilactobacillus fermentum. RNAcentral describes it as "bacterial SSU rRNA". It matches the Rfam family "Bacterial small subunit ribosomal RNA", at positions 82 to 841 of the family's 1533-position model. Lineage: Bacteria; Bacillati; Bacillota; Bacilli; Lactobacillales; Lactobacillaceae. The record is from RNAcentral.